This 439-nucleotide ribosomal RNA is filed under the name Selenomonas sputigena. Its description in RNAcentral is "bacterial SSU rRNA". It matches the Rfam family "Bacterial small subunit ribosomal RNA", at positions 28 to 451 of the family's 1533-position model. The record is from RNAcentral. Lineage: Bacteria; Bacillati; Bacillota; Negativicutes; Selenomonadales; Selenomonadaceae.
GACGAACGCUGGCGGCGUGCUUAACACAUGCAAGUCGAACGGGAACCUUUAUUUCGGUAAAGGUGAGAGUGGCAAACGGGUGAGUAACACGUAGGCAACCUGCCGACAGGAUGGGGACAACAUUCCGAAAGGAAUGCUAAUACCGAAUGGAGUCCGAGGAUGGCAUCAUCCUUGGAUAAAAGAUGGCCUCUUAACAAUGCUAUCGCCUGUCGAUGGGCCUGCGUCUGAUUAGCCAGUUGGCGGGGUAACGGCCCACCAAAGCGACGAUCAGUAGCCGGUCUGAGAGGAUGAACGGCCACAUUGGGACUGAGACACGGCCCAGACUCCUACGGGAGGCAGCAGUGGGGAAUCUUCCACAAUGGGCGAAAGCCUGAUGGAGCAACGCCGCGUGAGUGAAGAAGGUCUUCGGAUCGUAAAGCUCUGUUGCACGGGACGAAAA